This is a long non-coding RNA of Lemur catta (Ring-tailed lemur), 155 nucleotides long. RefSeq lists it as uncharacterized. The record is from RefSeq and is a predicted model, not a curated record. The transcript has 3 exons. Lineage: Eukaryota; Metazoa; Chordata; Mammalia; Primates; Lemuridae.
CGUGAGUGUUUGUUUUCCGGAUGCUGCAGAGGCUCUGCUGUUGUCAGCCUGGGCUGCCUUUCUGCACAGCCCCUGGCAACCACCCCUCUGCUUUCUGUCUGUGAGUCUGACUACGCCAGACACCUCGCGCCACCAUGAGUGAUGCUGCUACGAAG